RNAcentral lists this long non-coding RNA (1864 nucleotides) under Capra hircus (goat). RNAcentral describes it as "lncRNA (ENSCHIG00010006539.1)". Lineage: Eukaryota; Metazoa; Chordata; Mammalia; Artiodactyla; Bovidae. The record is from RNAcentral.
AAAUGCUUGGACCUGAUGACUUGAGCGAAGGAGACUCUUCAAGACCCCAAACGCCUCGCCGACGCUCUGCCCGCCCCGCAAGGCCUCACCUGUGUAAUUACCCUCUGGCUAGUCUUCCUGCCUCAACCGCGGCCAAGUUUACACAAUAAGAGGGUCAAAAAGAAACCCGAGACAUCUCCUCGCGCCCAGCCCCCAGUCCCAAAAGAACUGUACUGUGCUGCCCCGGGUCGCCCCUGCAACACCCCUGGCCCUGAGAGGCCGGGCCUGAGGGUCGUCCCGGGAAGGUGUUUACAGCCGGGCGAUCGCCCCUCCUCGGUGCAGCCUGCCGGUGAGGGCCCCUUCCGUCCCGCCGCGGCCCCGGAUUUCCUUCAGUCCCGCCGUCCGGAGCGCCGCGCCGGCCCCUCUCCCAGCCGGAGAGUUGUUUUCAUGGCUCCCUCGGCCGACCUCUGCUGACUAACUCUCUCGCCUCCCGUCCCAAUACCUCCUCCUCCAGGCACUUGACUCCGCCGUUCGCCCAGCGGCUCACAUCACACUCCCACCUCAGACGUGAGGCUCCGAGAGGCGCAGGGCCGGCAAAAGCGGAGCGUGGCGCGCAGCGGCCCCCGAGGCUGCGCUAGGGGACCAUGGGGGCCCGAGACAACAAGCCCGACGCUCAGCCCUUCGUCCUGCCCGACUCGCACCCGAGCCCCGCGGCCCUCGGGCUUUGGCCGCCUGGCGACCUGGCCAGCCCGUUCGCCCCGCGCCUCUGCCAGCUCCUCGCCCGCCCGCUGUCUCUAGCUCUGGCGCCCCAGCUCCCUGGCCCCCUCGCUCGCCCAGUUCUUUCUCUGCUGUUUGCCCUGUCAAAACACUGCCCGGGUCACGUGUCCCAACAACAGCCAACCCACCGCUCGUCACUUCCUCCCCGGCGGCCUCAGCUGCUGGCGCCCGGUUGUUAUGACAACGCCCGGCGCGCCCAGGGGCGCUAGCCUGGGGGCCUGGGUUUCCUUGCAGGUACAGCGGGUUGCGAGGGGCUGGCGGAGCCCCGAAGGCCCGCGAGGCGCCAGGCACAUCGGCUGCGCUCGCUUCCUGUCUGCCCUUCGAGCUGGCUGAAGCGCGUCUGGGACCAGGAACCAGAGCUGCGCUAUUAGAGCACAGGGUAACCGAGGAGAUGUCAUCCGAGGGCCUGCCCCAGACUUGGAGGAUAAUUAUAGUCUCCUCCUCCUCCUCCACACGGGAUGCUGGCGCAGAGUUGUGACCCAUCCCCGAGUGGCUUGCAGUGCACAGUGGAAGCUGGAUCUAAUUGUGGCCGGGACAAUAGCGUGGGCCUCCAUACGCUUCAGGGACUGGGGAGUUUAAGAACAAGAAGCCCUCCUCACCCUAAAAAAAAAAUUUUUUUUUUUUUUUCACAUCACUAGGGAUUUUAGUAGGAUUCAGAACCCAAGCUCCCGAGGCACUUGCGGUGCUAAAAAUAACUUUUAUAAUCUCUGAAACACUGACUCAUGGCAAGAGGACACUUUUGACACCGUGUUAUUGUUGGGGAGCUGUAAUUUUGUUGUUGUGCUAUAACAAUGUGACAUGAUGACAUUUCGUGUUGCGAUGUUGUAUCAUCAUUUCAACACAAACAGAUGACAAGGAUCUGCUGUAAUUAAAAAAAGCAACCCUAGCAAGGACUGAAGCUAUUAGCUACUCAGUUUAUAGACAAAGUACAUACCGGGUUGUGAGCUUAAAAUAGAGACAAAGUACAAAAUUUACAGUCCUCUUGGGUUCAGUAUAGAAACUUUUAAAAAAAGAAACAAUUUUGCAUACAAGAAUCACAACGGGAUGAGAAGGAAAUAGCAAUCCACUCCAGUAUUCUUGCCUGGGAAAUCCCGUGGACAGAGGAGCC